This 497-nucleotide ribosomal RNA is filed under the name uncultured bacterium. RNAcentral describes it as "partial 16S ribosomal RNA". It matches the Rfam family "Bacterial small subunit ribosomal RNA", at positions 28 to 507 of the family's 1533-position model. The record is from RNAcentral.
GAUGAACGCUGGCGGCGUGCCUAAUACAUGCAAGUCGAGCGAACAGACGAGGAGCUUGCUCCUCUGACGUUAGCGGCGGACGGGUGAGUAACACGUGGAUAACCUACCUAUAAGACUGGGAUAACUUCGGGAAACCGGAGCUAAUACCGGAUAAUAUAUUGAACCGCAUGGUUCAAUAGUGAAAGACGGUUUUGCUGUCACUUAUAGAUGGAUCCGCGCCGCAUUAGCUAGUUGGUAAGGUAACGGCUUACCAAGGCAACGAUGAGUAGCCGACCUGUGAGGGUGAUCGGCCACACUGGAACUGAGACACGGUCCAGACUCCUACGGGAGGCAGCAGUAGGGAAUCUUCCGAAAUGGGCGAAAGCCUGACGGAGCAACGCCGCGUGAGUGAUGAAGGUCUUCGGAUCGUAAAACUCUGUUAUUAGGGAAGAACAAAUGUGUAAGUAACUAUGCACGUCUUGACGGUACCUAAUCAGAAAGCCACGGCUAACUACGUG